UGGGGAAUAUUGGGCAAUGGGCGAAAGCCUGACCCAGCAACGCCGCGUGAGGGAAGAAGGCCUUCGGGUUGUAAACCUCUGUCCUUGGUGACGAAAAAAAUGACGGUAGCCAAGGAGGAAGCCCCGGCUAACUACGUGCCAGCAGCCGCGGUAAUACGUAGGGGGCGAGCGUUGUCCGGAAUUACUGGGCGUAAAGGGUGCGUAGGUGGCCUUUUAAGUUGGAUGUGAAAUACCCGGGCUUAACUUGGGGGGUGCAUCUAAUACUGGAGGGCUAGAGUGCAGGAGAGGGAAGCGGAAUUCCUAGUGUAGCGGUGAAAUGCGUAGAUAUUAGGAGGAACACCAGUGGCGAAGGCGGCUUUCUGGACUGUAACUGACACUGAGGCACGAAAGCGUGGGGAGCAAACAG
Molecule: ribosomal RNA, 406 nt
Filed under: uncultured bacterium
Lineage: Bacteria
Description: bacterial SSU rRNA
Rfam family: Bacterial small subunit ribosomal RNA
Source: RNAcentral